CCUACGGGAGGCUGCAGUAGGGAAUAUUGCUCAAUGGGGGAAACCCUGAAGCAGCAACGCCGCGUGGAGGAUGAAGGUUUUAGGAUUGUAAACUCCUUUUGUGAGAGAAGAUAAUGACGGUAUCUCACGAAUAAGCACUGGCCAAUUCCGUGCCAGCAGCCGCGGUAAUACGGAGGGUGCCAGCGUUAUUCGGAAUCACUGGGCGUAAAGAGUGCGCAGGCGGGCUUGUAAGUCAGAUGUGAAAUCCUGUAGCUUAACUACAGCACUGCAAUUGAAACUAUGAGUCUAGAGUGUAGGAGAGGUAGGUGGAAUUCUUGGUGUAGGGGUAAAAUGCGUAGAUAUCAAGAAGAAUACUCAUUGCGAAGGCGGCCUACUGGAACAUUACUGACGCUCAUGCACGAAAGCGUGGGGAGCAAACAUGAUUAGAUACCCGGGUAGUC
RNAcentral lists this ribosomal RNA (440 nucleotides) under uncultured bacterium. RNAcentral's name for it is "partial 16S ribosomal RNA". It matches the Rfam family "Bacterial small subunit ribosomal RNA", at positions 338 to 795 of the family's 1533-position model. The record is from RNAcentral.